AGCCAGUGAUGAGUUGCCAUGCUAAUACUGACGUAGUAGCACCGAGUGUGAGUGUGAGUGCUCACAGAGCUGACUGCGGCUG
Molecule: non-coding RNA, 82 nt
Organism: Xenopus laevis (African clawed frog)
Lineage: Eukaryota; Metazoa; Chordata; Amphibia; Anura; Pipidae
Source: Rfam